This is a long non-coding RNA of Gadus chalcogrammus (walleye pollock), 535 nucleotides long. RefSeq lists it as uncharacterized. The transcript has 3 exons. Lineage: Eukaryota; Metazoa; Chordata; Actinopteri; Gadiformes; Gadidae. The record is from RefSeq and is a predicted model, not a curated record.
UUGGGGUAAGACCUGGUAAUAAAUGGAAUGCUCUGGUGUUUUAAUUGGAGGUAUGGGAGGAAGUUUUCCCACUUUACUGAGGAAGGAAAAUCAACCCUCCGAGACAAUGUCCCACCUGCCUUUAGGAUUGCACGAAAAAGGAGACUUUCAAGCUGCACAGUGAUGCCGUUGGACUCUGACGAGGACCAUGUUUUCAAUAAGAGGCCUUACAGCUUUCCUUCUAAGGAGAUGGGAAGUGGAGUUACCAUGGACAAAGAUGUCUUCAGCUUGAAAGAAGACACAUCUCUCAUUUAAUCACAGUAAUUUAUUGGUACAGGCUUAAGCAUUUUAGAAUUUAAUUUAGAAUUUAAAGAAUGGAGUUAAAUGUUUUGAAACAGCUCUUGUUCUUUUUGACAAAGGCUUCCAUUUUUGUUCAAUAAAAUGUGUCUUAUAUCAACUGCUGGCUUCAUAUCAUUUUGUUGAUUCUAGAUAGAAAUAGUCUGAAAUGUCUUAACUACUGCCAAGCGUUAAGCAUGAGAUUUUUACAAAGCUUACA